Molecule: long non-coding RNA, 443 nt
Organism: Phyllostomus hastatus (greater spear-nosed bat)
Lineage: Eukaryota; Metazoa; Chordata; Mammalia; Chiroptera; Phyllostomidae
Exons: 4
Source: RefSeq, a predicted model, not a curated record
ACUAGCACAGCCUUACUUAUAUCCUGCUGUAGAUUUUCAAGCCAUAAAGAAAAUCAGUGCAUGAAAGACUGUGUUCGUGUAUUCAUUAUGUGAACAAAAUACAGGCUAUGCUCUUACACUUUGGGGAUCAAUGGAAUUGGGUUGAAAAUGUUUUGACACACUUGUUUGCUGCUUCUACACCUAGGAAGAAAGCUAAAAGCAUCUUCUCAGAUACUGCUCCCAUUCCAAGGGUCCACUGGGGAAGCUGGCCAUUUGCCCAUGAAGCCUUGUUCACUGCCUAUUUGAAGAGGCAUAAUGGAGACUAACACUGUGUCUGAGACACUUGGGGAGAAGAAGGUCUCUUGCCAGUGCUGCUCCAUGGGCCCACCCUACCAGAAGCCCAAGUUUGAGAACACUAUCAGUGCAGCCUUGGAAAUGAGCCUCUCCAGGCCCAAGUGGAUCUG